CAUAUGUUUAAUUUAUUUAAAAAUAAGUCAAUAGGACCUAUUUGUCAAUUUGAAAUUUUUUAUAAAAAUCUUCAACAGUAGAGGAACCGUCAGCCGUGUCCAGGAGAGUGCUUUUACAACAACUUGUUGGUUGUCCACAGAUAGUUGGAACAAAUAAAUGAUUCAAUAAUACAAGGUUGUCGUCCUCGUCCGCAGCUUUCUCGUCCCCACAUAAAAAUGGGCUUCUUUGAUCAACAAUGUUGCUAACUGCUAAGUUUUCCGUUAUUAUAUUGUAUAAGCAAUAGUAAAAUGCAAAAUAUUCAUACUAAAAAUUCGUUGGAAACACAUAUUUGUUCGUGUUAUUAACUUUUUUCUCAAUCGUUCACAUUUUGUUUUCUGAUUACGUGAAAAUCGAAGUUCGAAAUUACACAAAAUCAUAGCUUAGAUGGCUUGGAUGUCGCCGCAAUCUCAUAGAAUUUGGUAAUCUGGCGCUCGUGGAUACAUGUGAAGAACUGGAGGGUGGUAAAUGGCAAAAAGGAGAUAUGGCAAGUAAAAGUAUAAAACACAAUGCUUGUUCUCAUUGGAUAAAGGUAUUAAGUAAAUAGUUAUUUGGUGAAAUUGAGAAAAAGCUAUGUAAACUUUAGCCUUGAUUGCAAGCGUUGUUCUUGAUCCUUUUCAGGCGCUUUGUCGUUAAAAACUCGUUAUUAUGUCGCUAAAACUAAAUGAGUUUGUGCGACAUUACUUGAUAUUUUGUCCAUUCCUUACUUCAAGUCGUCGCUCGCGGC
Molecule: long non-coding RNA, 764 nt
Organism: Anastrepha ludens (Mexican fruit fly)
Lineage: Eukaryota; Metazoa; Arthropoda; Insecta; Diptera; Tephritidae
Exons: 3
Source: RefSeq, a predicted model, not a curated record